This 430-nucleotide ribosomal RNA is filed under the name Bacillota bacterium. RNAcentral describes it as "Firmicutes bacterium partial 16S ribosomal RNA". It matches the Rfam family "Bacterial small subunit ribosomal RNA", at positions 355 to 776 of the family's 1533-position model. Lineage: Bacteria; Bacillati; Bacillota. The record is from RNAcentral.
UAGGGAAUCUUCCGCAAUGGACGAAAGUCUGACGGAGCAACGCCGCGUGAGCGAAGAAGGUCUUAGGAUCGUAAAGCUCUGUUGUCAGGGAAGAACAAGUGCCGUUCGAACAGGGCGGUACCUUGACGGUACCUGACGAGGAAGCCACGGCUAACUACGUGCCAGCAGCCGCGGUAAUACGUAGGUGGCAAGCGUUGUCCGGAAUCAUUGGGCGUAAAGCGCGCGCAGGCGGUUCCUUAAGUCUGAUGUGAAAUCUCGCGGCUCAACCGCGAGCGGGCAUUGGAAACUGGGAAACUAGAGUGCAGGAGAGGGGGGCGGAAUUCCACGUGUAGCGGUGAAAUGCGUAGAGAUGUGGAGGAACACCAGUGGCGAAGGCGGCUCUCUGGCCUGUAACUGACGCUGAGGCGCGAAAGCGUGGGGAGCGAACAGG